Molecule: non-coding RNA, 24 nt
Filed under: Cricetulus griseus (Chinese hamster)
Lineage: Eukaryota; Metazoa; Chordata; Mammalia; Rodentia; Cricetidae
Source: RNAcentral
UAUGGGACGUAUGAAUUCUGACUG